This 482-nucleotide ribosomal RNA is filed under the name uncultured bacterium. RNAcentral's name for it is "partial 16S ribosomal RNA". It matches the Rfam family "Bacterial small subunit ribosomal RNA", at positions 30 to 507 of the family's 1533-position model. The record is from RNAcentral.
AUUGAACGCUGGCGGCAUGCCUUACACAUGCAAGUCGAACGGUAACAGGUCUUCGGAUGCUGACGAGUGGCGAACGGGGGGGUAAUACAUCGGAACGUGCCCGAUCGUGGGGGAUAACGAAGCGAAAGCUUUGCUAAUACCGCAUACGAUCUACGGAUGAAAGCGGGGGUUCUUCGGACCUCGCGCGGCCGGAGCGUCCGAUGGCAGCUUAGGUAGGUGGUGGGAUAAAAGUUUACCAAGCCGACGAUCUGUAGCUGGUCUGAGGGGAUGAUGAGCCACACGGGGAGUGAGACACGGCCCAGACUCUUACGGGGGGCCGCAGUGGGGAAUUUUGGACGAUGGGCGAGAGCCUGAUCCAGCAAUGCCGGGUGCAGGAUGAAGGCCUUCGGGUUGGAAAGUGCUUUUGUACGGAACGAAAAGGUGCCUUCUAAUAAGGGGUGAUCAUGACGGUACCGGAAGAAUAAGCACCGGCUAACUCCGUG